CCCUAGGGUGGGGCUCUGGGUCCGGGCCUGUUAUGUACCUUUGCCUUGGGAAUCCGGAAUAGAGCGUGUGCCUGCUAAGUGCAAGGGCGGUCAAAAGCUGGGAGGGACCCUCAGCAGGUUUGGUGACACAAGUGCAGUUUUCAAAGAUCUUGACCGUUGGAAGAAACGGCUCGGAAGAAACCGUGCCUUUUUUGUGAGGAGGCGGUUCAUGAGGACAGAUGGGUUGCCGUACUCUUUAGCGGAAAUGUUCAAGUGGGGACAUACAGGGUGAGGAAGCCUUGGCUGUACGUAGGCUUGAGAAAAUGUAGCAAAACGUCACCUGCCACCAUUUCACCGUGGUCGCCCUGUCUUCUGCCAUGAAAGUACGUGCCAGACAGAAAGGAUCCGUAGCGGUCUGCAAGUACAAAGUACAUCUCUGAUCCGUGCGUGCAUUUUCCCUAAGGAGCACUGAAAACCGUUACUGAGACACUAGCGUCUGUACUGAAAGCAGUCGAGGUCAAAGAAGAGACGUGGAGAAAAAGGGACAAAUGGGCUUCUGUGUGUU
Egretta garzetta (little egret) is the source of this 544-nucleotide long non-coding RNA. RefSeq lists it as uncharacterized. NCBI's taxonomy places the organism in Eukaryota, Metazoa, Chordata, Aves, Pelecaniformes, Ardeidae. The record is from RefSeq and is a predicted model, not a curated record. The transcript has 3 exons.